UACUCAGUGCACAUCCACCACAGAGGUAUGGACCCCAGACAUCCUGCUGCAUACAGGGUGGAUGUCUGGGGUCCAUACCUCUGUGGU
Molecule: non-coding RNA, 87 nt
Organism: Pelobates cultripes (western spadefoot toad)
Lineage: Eukaryota; Metazoa; Chordata; Amphibia; Anura; Pelobatidae
Source: the annotation of a GenBank genome assembly